UAGGGAAUCUUCGGCAAUGGGGGGCAACCUUGACCGAGCAACGCCGCGUGAGUGAAGAAGGUUUUCGGAUCGUAAAGCUCUGUUGUAAGAGAAGAACGUGUGUGAGAGUGGAAAGUUCACACAGUGACGGUAACUUACCAGAAAGGGACGGCUAACUACGUGCCAG
This 166-nucleotide ribosomal RNA is filed under the name uncultured bacterium. Its description in RNAcentral is "partial 16S rRNA". It matches the Rfam family "Bacterial small subunit ribosomal RNA", at positions 355 to 511 of the family's 1533-position model. The record is from RNAcentral.